UAGAUUGAUGCUCGCUGGUUUGGGCGCUUAGCUGUUAACUAAGAUUUUGUGGGAUCGAGGCCCUCCUAUCUAU
Molecule: transfer RNA, 73 nt
Filed under: Congriscus sp. Tht2
Lineage: Eukaryota; Metazoa; Chordata; Actinopteri; Anguilliformes; Congridae
Description: tRNA-Asn
Source: RNAcentral